GAUGAACGCUGGCGGCGUGCCUAAUACAUGCAAGUCGAGCGAACAGACGAGGAGCUUGCUCCUCUGACGUUAGCGGCGGACGGGUGAGUAACUCGUGGAUAACCUACCUAUAAGACUGGGAUAACUUCGGGAAACCGGAGCUAAUACCGGAUAAUAUAUUGAACCGCAUGGUUCAAUAGUGAAAGACGGUUUUGCUGUCACUUAUAGAUGGAUCCGCGCCGCAUUAGCUAGUUGGUAAGGUAACGGCUUACCAAGGCAACGAUGCGUAGCCGACCUGAGAGGGUGAUCGGCCACACUGGAACUGAGACACGGUCCAGACUCCUACGGGAGGCAGCAGUAGGGAAUCUUCCGCAAUGGGCGAAAGCCAGACGGAGCAACGCUGCGUGAGUGAUGAAGGUCUUCGGAUCGUAAAACUCUGUUAUUAGGGAAGAACAAAUGUGUAAGUAACUAUGCACGUCUUGACGGUACCUAAUCAGAAAGCCACGGCUAACUACGUG
RNAcentral lists this ribosomal RNA (497 nucleotides) under uncultured bacterium. Its description in RNAcentral is "partial 16S ribosomal RNA". It matches the Rfam family "Bacterial small subunit ribosomal RNA", at positions 28 to 507 of the family's 1533-position model. The record is from RNAcentral.